UACGUAGGGUGCGAGCGUUAAUCGGAAUUACUGGGCGUAAAGCGUGCGCAGGCGGUUUUGUAAGCCAGAUGUGAAAGCCCCGGGCUCAACCUGGGAAUGGCAUUUGGGACUGCAAGGCUUGAGUGCGGCAGGGGAGACUGGAAUUCCUGGUGUAGCAGUGAAAUGCGUAGAUAUCAGGAGGAAUACCGAUGGCGAAGGCAGGUCUCUGGGCUGACACUGACGCUCAUGCACGAAAGCGUGGGGAGCAAACAGG
This 253-nucleotide ribosomal RNA is filed under the name uncultured bacterium. RNAcentral describes it as "partial 16S ribosomal RNA". It matches the Rfam family "Bacterial small subunit ribosomal RNA", at positions 524 to 776 of the family's 1533-position model. The record is from RNAcentral.